RNAcentral lists this ribosomal RNA (365 nucleotides) under Aeromonas sp. RNAcentral's name for it is "bacterial SSU rRNA". It matches the Rfam family "Bacterial small subunit ribosomal RNA", at positions 85 to 453 of the family's 1533-position model. Lineage: Bacteria; Pseudomonadati; Pseudomonadota; Gammaproteobacteria; Aeromonadales; Aeromonadaceae. The record is from RNAcentral.
UUGCCGGCGAGCGGCGGACGGGUGAGUAAUGCCUGGGAAUUUGCCCAGUCGAGGGGGAUAACAGUUGGAAACGACUGCUAAUACCGCAUACGCCCUACGGGGGAAAGCAGGGGACCUUCGGGCCUUGCGCGAUUGGAUAAGCCCAGGUGGGAUUAGCUAGUUGGUGAGGUAAUGGCUCACCAAGGCGACGAUCCCUAGCUGGUCUGAGAGGAUGAUCAGCCACACUGGAACUGAGACACGGUCCAGACUCCUACGGGAGGCAGCAGUGGGGAAUAUUGCACAAUGGGGGAAACCCUGAUGCAGCCAUGCCGCGUGUGUGAAGAAGGCCUUCGGGUUGUAAAGCACUUUCAGCGAGGAGGAAAGGC